UACGGGGGGGGCAAGCGUUGUUCGGAAUUACUGGGCGUAAAGGGCUCGUAGGCGGCCAACUAAGUCAGACGUGAAAUCCCUCGGCUUAACCGGGGAACUGCGUCUGAUACUGGAUGGCUUGAGUUUGGGAGAGGGAUGCGGAAUUCCAGGUGUAGCGGUGAAAUGCGUAGAUAUCUGGAGGAACACCGGUGGCGAAGGCGGCUCACUGGCUCGUUUCUGACGCUCAGGCGCGAAAGCUAGGGGAGCAAACGGG
RNAcentral lists this ribosomal RNA (253 nucleotides) under uncultured bacterium. Its description in RNAcentral is "partial 16S ribosomal RNA". It matches the Rfam family "Bacterial small subunit ribosomal RNA", at positions 524 to 776 of the family's 1533-position model. The record is from RNAcentral.